RNAcentral lists this ribosomal RNA (434 nucleotides) under uncultured bacterium. RNAcentral describes it as "bacterial SSU rRNA". It matches the Rfam family "Bacterial small subunit ribosomal RNA", at positions 367 to 793 of the family's 1533-position model. The record is from RNAcentral.
CACAAUGGGCGCAAGCCUGAUGCAGCCAUGCCGCGUGUAUGAAGAAGGCCUUACGGGUUGUAAAGUACUUUCAGCAGUGAGGAAGGUGGAUAUGUUAAUAGCAUAUUCAUUUGACGUUAGCUGCAGAAGAAGCACCGGCUAACUCCGUGCCAGCAGCCGCGGUAAUACGGAGGGUGCGAGCGUUAAUCGGAAUUACUGGGCGUAAAGCGCAUGCAGGUGGUUUGUUAAGUCAGAUGUGAAAGCCCGGGGCUCAACCUCGGAAUUGCAUUUGAAACUGGCAAACUAGAGUACUGUAGAGGGGGUAGAAUUUCAGGUGUAGCGGUGAAAUGCGUAGAGAUCUGAAGGAAUACCGGUGGCGAAGGCGGCCCCCUGGACAGAUACUGACACUCAGAUGCGAAAGCGUGGGGAGCAAACAGGAUUAGAUACCCUGGUAG